AGCGUCGGCGAGGUGGCAAACAACCUUUGACCCGGCGAUUUCCGAAUGGGGAAACCCACCUCGCAAGAGGUACUGCACACUGAAUUCAUAGGUGUGUGGAGCGAACCCGGUGAAUUGAAACAUCUCAGUAACCGGAGGAAAAGAAAUCAACCGAGAUUCCCUUAGUAGUGGCGAGCGAAAGGGGACCAGCCCAGUUGUGGUAAUUCGACAAGUGCUAGCGGAACAGUCUGGAAAGUCUGGCCAUAGUAGGUGAUAGCCCUGUAGGCGAAAGCACAAGUCGAUGAGCAACGAAGAGUAGGACGAGACACGUGCAAUCUUGUCUGAACAUUGGGGGACCAUCCUCAAAGGCUAAAUACUCUCUACCGACCGAUAGUGAACCAGUACCGUGAGGGAAAGGCGAAAAGAACCCCGGUGAGGGGAGUGAAAUAGAACCUGAAACCGUGUGCGUACAAGCAGUAGGAGCCCGUAAGGGUGACUGCGUACCUUUUGUAUAAUGGGUCAGCGAGUUAUUUUCAGUGGCGAGGCUAACCGAAUAGGGGAGCCGUAGGGAAACCGAGUCUUAAACGGGCGUCACAGUCGCUGGGAAUAGACCCGAAGCCAGUCGAUCUAUCCAUGUCCAGGAUGAAGGUCAGGUAACACUGACUGGAGGUCCGAACGAACCACUGUUGCAAUAGUGCGUCGAUGAGGUGUGGAUAGGAGUGAAAGGCUAAUCAAGGCUGGCGAUAGCUGGUUCUCCCCGAAAGCUAUUUAGGUAGUGCCUCGAGUCAAUACUCUGGGGGGUAGAGCACUGUUUGGAGAAGGGGACCAUCUCGGUCUACCAACUCCAUGCAAACUCCGAAUACCCAGAAGUAAUACUCGGGAGACACACGGCGGGUGCUAACGUCCGUCGUGAAAAGGGAAAUAACCCAGACCAUCAGCUAAGGUCCCAAAGUUUCGGCUAAGUGGUAAACGAUGUGAGAAGGCAUAGACAGCCAGGAGGUUGGCUUAGAAGCAGCCAUCCUUUAAAGAAAGCGUAAUAGCUCACUGGUCUAGUCGGCUCGCGCGGAAGAUUUAACGGGGCUAAGCCGAGCACCGAAGCUAUGGAUGUGCAUGCCUUAGGGCGUGUACGUGGUAGGGGAGCGUUCUCUAAGCCUGCGAAGGUGCACUGUGAGGUGUGCUGGAGGUAUGAGAAGUGCGAAUGCUGACAUGAGUAACGUUAAAGCGGGUGAAAAACCCGCUCGCCGAAAACCCAAGGUUUCCUGAGCCACGUUAAUCGGCUGAGGGUGAGUCGGAUCCUAAGGCGAGGCCGAAAGGCGUAGUCGAUGGAAAGCAGGUUAACAUUCCUGCACCGCUCGUUACUGCGAUGGGAUGACGGAGAAGGCUAGGUCAGCGGCAGCAGUGCCGUUCAAGGCCGUAGGGGUGUGUUCCUGGCAAAUCCGGAGCACAGCUAUCCCCGAGAACUGAGUACUAGGAGACCUCGGUCUCCGAAGUGACUGAUGCCACGCUUCCGGGAAAAGUCUCUAAGCUUCAGGUAACGACGUCCGUACCGUAAACCGACACUGGUGGGUGAGCAGAUAAUCUGCUAAGGCGCUUGAGAGAACUCGGGUUAAGGAACUCUGCAAAUUGAUACCGUAACUUCGGGAGAAGGUAUGCCUGCUGGGGUGAGGGGAUUUACUCUCCAAGCUUCGACAGGUCACAGGUAAUCGAGGGCUGCGACUGUUUAUCAAAAACACAGGACUCUGCGAACACGAAAGUGGAUGUAUAGGGUCUGACGCCUGCCCGGUGCCGGAAGGUUAAUUGAUGGGGUCAGCCGCAAGGCGAAGCUCCUGAUCGAAGCCCCGGUAAACGGCGGCCGUAACAAUAACGGUCCUAAGGUAGCGAAAUUCCUUGUCGGGUAAG
Molecule: ribosomal RNA, 1878 nt
Filed under: Arachis stenosperma
Lineage: Eukaryota; Viridiplantae; Streptophyta; Magnoliopsida; Fabales; Fabaceae
Description: bacterial LSU rRNA
Rfam family: Bacterial large subunit ribosomal RNA
Source: RNAcentral